CCCUUAGAUGUUCUGGGCCGCACGCGCGCUACACUGAUGCAUUCAACGAGUUCCUACCUUGGCCGAGAGGCCUGGGCAAUCUUUUGAACUUGCAUCGUGAUAGGGAUAGAUUAUUGCAAUUAUUAAUCUUGAACGAGGAAUUCCUAGUAAACGCAGAUCAUCAAUCUGCAUUGAUUACGUCCCUGCCCUUUGUACACACCGCCCGUCGCACCUACCGAUUGAAUGCUCAGGUGAGCCAUUCGGACUUUCAUCAUGCUGGUUUCCAGUUUUGAUGAAGGAAAGUCUUGCGAACCUUAUCAUUUAGAGGAAGGAGAAGUCGUAACA
This 324-nucleotide ribosomal RNA is filed under the name uncultured eukaryote. Its description in RNAcentral is "partial 18S ribosomal RNA". It matches the Rfam family "Eukaryotic small subunit ribosomal RNA", at positions 1470 to 1796 of the family's 1831-position model. The record is from RNAcentral.